Molecule: ribosomal RNA, 273 nt
Filed under: uncultured bacterium
Lineage: Bacteria
Description: partial 16S ribosomal RNA
Rfam family: Bacterial small subunit ribosomal RNA
Source: RNAcentral
UACGAAGGGGGCAAGCGUUGUUCGGAAUGACUGGGCGUAAAGGGCGCGUAGGCGGUCGGCCGCGUCAGAUGUGAAAGCCCCGGGCUCAACCUGGGAAUGGCAUUUGAGACGGGUCGGCUCGAGUGCGGGAGAGGAUGGUGGAAUUCCCAGUGUAGAGGUGAAAUUCGUAGAUAUUGGGAAGAACACCGAGGGCGAAGGCAGCCAUCUGGACCGACACUGACGCUGAGGCGCGACAGCGUGGGGAGCAAACAGGAUUAGAAACCCCCGUAGUCC